UCUCUCUCUCUCUCGCACGAAGCUAAACACUUCUUCUUCAAUCGAGUUCUUAAUGUUUGGAACGCUCUACCCUGUGAUGUCGUUGAUAGUACAACAGUUACGGCCUUCAAAAAUAGAUUAAACAAGUGUUUUGAAUCCAACCAGCAACUAAGAUAUUACUCAUUGUCGUAAUAACGUUAAGUUCUUUCGAAUACUGCAGUGGUGUCCUUGUCCGCUUUUAUCGCCCGGUUAGUGGUAGCAGUAAUGGUAGUUCUUUCCUCUUUCCUACAUAAUUUCCAUAAAGUUUUUCCAUGCUGCAUGGUUCUUUUUCCUUUCCUGCCAGCUUUGGGUGGAGGGAUGGGGGGGUGGGGAGGAGCCUUCGCCUUUGCUGUCCUUCAUCUUCCACCUUUGAUUAGAUAGUUAGUGUAGCUUGUCACAAACAGCCUCGUAAGGACCAGCAGGUCUGCUGUUGUUUGUUCUUCCUUUGUGUUCCUCCUCCUCCACCUCCUCUUCGUCUUCCUCCUCCUCCUCCUCCUCUUUUUCAUGGGGGAGGAGGGAAGAGAGAUGGAGGAAGGAGGAAAAAUGAGAGAGAGAGAGAUCGCUUACCUGUAAAUAUCCCCCACCUGGCCGCGCUAAUAACACCGUCACACAUCCAAGGCACACACUUCAUGGCGCCGAGUCCCCCCCCCAGCGAGUAGAACCGUGGCACACGUCCUCUCUACCAAGUCUGGGUGGACACUGAGGUGAGGUGGUCCGUGGUGCCGCCUUGCAACGCGUGAAGACAUCCAGGUGAGUCGAGUUGCCUGUAGGUGCUCGGUUUUCGUCUUUAUUUCUCCUCUUUCCUCUUGUCCCUCCUCCUCCUCUUUCUGUACACUUAUAGAACAAUCUCUCCUCUUUCUCCUCGUGUUAUCCGUUUCUCUCUAUCUCCUCUCGUUCUCUCUCUAUCUCCAUUUUUAUCAACACUUUUCUCAUCUCUCCUCCAUAUCUAAUUUAGGUUGGCAAUGUCCUUCCUACUACUACUACUACUACUCAAGGAUUGUAAGUAAAGGGAGUUGUAGUAUAUAUUUUUUAUUAAUAAGUGUUGAUGAUAAAAAUAAUAAUGAGAGAGAGAGAGAGAGAGAGAGAGAGAGAGAGAGAGAGAGAGAGAGAGAGAGAGAGAGAGAGAGAGAGAGAGAGAGAGAGAGAGAGAGAGAGAGAGAGAGAGAGAAAUACCUUCACAUCUGAAAGGGAAAAAUCUAUAAUCAUCUUCCUCCUCCUUCUCUUCUUCCUCACACACACACAAAUUAUGGCAGUUCCACCCAGGCAGUGACCUCUUCGCAGUAGUACUUGGGGGCAGGGUUAUGGUCAAGUUAUAGGGAGAUUUUUAUUUGUACAAAGCCCCUGUGGUGACCCUGCUGUCUGACCCUCACACCAACCAUCUUAUUGGGUCAAAUCGCAGGUCAGAUGGGUCCUAAUGUGUGUUUCCUUAGGUUCACGGUACAGAGGUAGGGUCAUGAAACUACCCCUGGAAAUGCCCACAACUCCUAGGAAAGCCUUGGCAAAUGUGUGUUUCCUUAGGUUCACGGUACAGAGGAAGGGUCACACUACCACCAGGGUCAUGAAACUACCCCUGGAAAUGCCCACAACUCCUAGGAAAGCCUUGCCAAAUGUGUGUUUCCUUAGGUUCACGGUACAGAGGAAGGGUCUCACUACCACAGGGUCAUGAAACUAUCCCUGAAAAUGCCCACAACUCCAAGGAAAGCCUUGCCAAAUGUGUGUUUCCUUAGGUUCAUGGUACAGACGAAGGGUCACACUACCACCAGGGUCAUGAAACUACCCCUGGAAAUGCCCACAACUCCUAAGAAAGCCUUGCCAAAUGUGUUUCCUUAGGUUCACGGUACAGAGGAAGGGUCACACUACCACCAGGGUCAGAAAACUACCCCUGGAAAUGCCAACAACUCCUAGGAAAGCCUUGGCAAAUGUGUGUUUCCUUAGGUUCACACUACCACCAGGGUCACAAAACUACCCCUGGAAAUGCCCACAACUCCUAGGAAAGCCUUGCCAAAUGUGUGUUUCCUUAAGUUCAUGGGCAGAGGAAGGGUCACACUACCACCAGGGUCACAAAAUUACCCCUGGAAAUGCCCACAACUCCUAGGAAAGCCUUGUCACAUGUGUGUUUCCUUAGGUUCACGGUGCAGAGGAAGGGUCAUAAAACUACCCCUGGAAAUGCCCACAACUCCUAGGAAAGCCUUGGCAAAUUAUGCUUACAUCUCAAAAUUAUCAAUUAAUGUAUGUUUCUUUAUGUGCACAAUUUAAUUCUGCAUGUUUUCAUAUAUAAUACAUGAUGAUUAAGUUGAGUUUAUGGCUGAAAACUUGUUAUAUUCAAUAGCGACAUUUGAAAUUUGGUGCGCACGGCGAUCUCGGAUACGGGGCGCUGUUUUGGCCUGGCCGUAGUGAAGGGGUUAAACCAAUAUAUUACACAUUUGGAAGUUGUAAAGUUUUGUUUAGUGGGCACAACAUCUGUGGUCACAUGCCGGAGAGAGACAGGCAAGGAAUGUUUUGUUUAGUGGGCAGCGCAAUAUCUGUGGUCAUAUGCCGGAGAGACAGGCAAGGAAAGUUUUGUUUAGUUGGCAGCGCAAUAUCUGUGGUCAUAUGACGGAGUGAGAUAGGAGGGGAAGGAA
This is a long non-coding RNA of Eriocheir sinensis (Chinese mitten crab), 2639 nucleotides long. RefSeq lists it as uncharacterized. The transcript is spliced from 2 exons. The record is from RefSeq and is a predicted model, not a curated record. Lineage: Eukaryota; Metazoa; Arthropoda; Malacostraca; Decapoda; Varunidae.